ACAAAGGGCAGCAAGUUCGCGAGGACAAGCAAAUCCCAUAAACCGUGGCUCAGUUCAGAUCGUAGGCUGCAACUCGCCUACGUGAAGGAGGAAUCGCUAGUAAUCGCGGGUCAGCAUACUGCGGUGAAUACGUUCCCGGGCCUUGUACACACCGCCCGUCACACCAUGGAAGUUGGCCACGCCCGAAGCCGUUACUCCAACCCUUGUGGAGGAGGACGUCGAAGGUGGGGCUGAUGACUGGAGUGAAGUCGUAACAAGGUAUCCGUACCGGAAGGUGCGGAUGGAUCACCUCCUAAC
Molecule: ribosomal RNA, 297 nt
Filed under: uncultured Synechococcus sp.
Lineage: Bacteria; Bacillati; Cyanobacteriota; Cyanophyceae; Synechococcales; Synechococcaceae
Description: partial 16S ribosomal RNA
Rfam family: Bacterial small subunit ribosomal RNA
Source: RNAcentral